GAUGAACGCUGACAGAAUGCUUAACACAUGCAAGUCUUUGGCGAAGCUGUGCUUGCACAGCCUAGCCAAGGCGGACGGGUGAGUAACGCGUAAGGAACUUGCCCUGCAGUCAGGGAUAACAGACGGAAACGACUGAUAAGACCUGGUAAAGUCAGGCGGACUCAUGUCCAGCCUGAUGAAAAGAGAUGCUGCAGGAGAGCCUUGCGUCCUAUUAGCUUGUUGGUGGGGUAACGGCCCACCAAGGCGAUGAUAGGUAGCCGGCCUGAGAGGGUGGACGGCCACAAGGGGACUGAGAUACGGCCCUUACUCCUACGGGAGGCAGCAGUGGGGAAUAUUGGACAAUGGGGGCAACCCUGAUCCAGCAAUUCUGUGUGCACGAUGAAGGUUUUCGGAUUGCAAAGUGCUUUCAGCAGGGAAGAAAAAAAUGACGGUACCUGCAGAAGAAGCGACGGCUAAAUACGUG
RNAcentral lists this ribosomal RNA (463 nucleotides) under uncultured bacterium. Its description in RNAcentral is "partial 16S ribosomal RNA". It matches the Rfam family "Bacterial small subunit ribosomal RNA", at positions 28 to 507 of the family's 1533-position model. The record is from RNAcentral.